This 228-nucleotide long non-coding RNA is filed under the name Salvia miltiorrhiza (redroot sage). RNAcentral describes it as "long non-coding RNA (SMIL_LNC001772)". Lineage: Eukaryota; Viridiplantae; Streptophyta; Magnoliopsida; Lamiales; Lamiaceae. The record is from RNAcentral.
AAUCAAAUGUGUAUAUAUAUGUCCGUACAUCUAGAUCUGAACUUAAAUAAUAGUAGUAUAUGAUAGUAGGGUUUAUACUUGAUGAUAAUUAAAACUGAUUUUUUUAAUGACUAAUUCAAUUUAUUUCAGUUUUAUCGCAAUAAUGAAAAUAUUAGUUAAUAAUAAGUAUUUAAUGUUUUUUAACAAAUUUUGUUGUUUGGUCUGAUGAUGUAAUAAUUUGGAAGUAAG